AGUGAACGCUGGCGGCAUGCCUAACACAUGCAAGUCGAACGGCAGCACAGUAAGUUCUUGCUCUUACCGGUUGCGAGUCGCGGACGUGUGACGUAUACAUCGGACUCUACUUUUUCGUGGGGCAUACCGUAGCGAAACUUACGCCAAUACCGCAUACCACCUACGGGUGUAAGCACUGGAUCUUCCGACCUUUCGCGAUUGCAUGAGCCGAUUUCGGAUUAGUUAGUUGGCGGGGUAAACGCCCACCAGGCCGACGAUCCGUACUUGGCCUGAGAGGAUGAUCAGCCACACUGGGACUGAGACACGGUCCAGAAUCCUACGGGAGGAAGCAGUGGGGAAUAUUGGACAAAGGGCGCAAGCCUGAUACAGCGAUGCCGCGUGUGUGAAGAAGGCCUUCGGGUUGUAAAGCCCUUUUGUUGGGAAAGAAAAGCAGCAGGUUAAUACCACGCUGUUAUGACGGUACCGAAAGAAUAAGCACCGGCUAACUACGUG
Molecule: ribosomal RNA, 492 nt
Filed under: uncultured bacterium
Lineage: Bacteria
Description: partial 16S ribosomal RNA
Rfam family: Bacterial small subunit ribosomal RNA
Source: RNAcentral